UCCUGCCGGACCUGACUGCUAUCGGAUUGAUACUAAGCCAUGCGAGUCUUUGCAGUAAUGCAAGGCAGACGGCUCAGUAACACGUAGUCAACCUACCCUAUGGACGAGAAUAAUCUCGGGAAACUGAGCAUAAUUCUUGAUAGAUCAUAAUGCCUGGAAUGGUUUAUGGUUAAAAUGAUUCGUCGCCAUAGGAUGGGACUGCGGCCUAUCAGCUUGUUGGUGAGGUAAUGGCCCACCAAGGCGAUUACAGGUACGGGCUCUGAGAGGAGAAGCCCGGAGAUGGGUACUGAGACACGGACCCAGGCCCUAUGGGGCGCAGCAGGCGAGAAAACUUUGCAAUGUGCGAAAGCACGACAAGGUUAAUCCGAGUGAUUUCUGCUAAAGAAAUCUUUUACCAGUCAUAAAACCACUGGUGAAUAAGGGGUGGGCAAGUUCUGGUGUCAGCCGCCGCGGUAAAACCAGCACCUCAAGUGGUCAGGAUGAUUAUUGGGCCUAAAGCAUCCGUAGCCGGCUUUGUAAGUUUUCGGUUAAAUCCAUGUGCUCAACGCAUGGGCUGCCGAAAAUACUGCAUGGCUAGGGAGUGGGAGAGGUAGACGGUACUCAGUAGGAAGGGGUAAAAUCCUUUGAUCUAUUGAUGACCACCUGUGGCGAAGGCGGUCUACCAGAACACGUUCGACGGUGAGGGAUGAAAGCUGGGGGAGCAAACCGGAUUAGAUACCCGGGUAGUCCCAGCUGUAAACGAUGCAGACUCGAUGAUGCAUUGGCAUAAUAGCCAGUGCAGUGUCGCAGGGAAGCCGUUAAGUCUGCCGCCUGGGAAGUACGUACGCAAGUAUGAAACUUAAAGGAAUUGGCGGGGGAGCACCACAAGGGGUGAAGCUUGCGGUUCAAU
RNAcentral lists this ribosomal RNA (889 nucleotides) under uncultured marine group I thaumarchaeote. RNAcentral describes it as "SSU rRNA". It matches the Rfam family "Archaeal small subunit ribosomal RNA", at positions 12 to 906 of the family's 1478-position model. The record is from RNAcentral. Lineage: Archaea; Thermoproteati; Nitrososphaerota.